AGUAAGGAGGACUUAUGCAACGUUCAAUUUGUAUAAUGUAUUCAAAAUACGGUGGCGCGAAAGCCCGGCCGGCCGGAUCUGCAAUUAUAAUGCUCCGGAAUAAGCCGACGGUACACUUUCGGCCGCGACGUGCGGGGUUCUUCCUCGGAAUCGGGCAGCAAUCCGCGCCGGAAAAAGCCUGACAAAACCGGGGACAGCGCUAAGAGCGACACUGCAACCGUUCCUCUGCAAAGACCAUCUAUAUCCACCGAUAAUCCAUUUACAUCUAGGGCGUCGCAGCAGAUCGCACGGUUUCCCUGCUGUCACCAAGACGGCACAGCGGCUCUCGGAGCCGCGACUACGUUCGAUCUCACACUGUAACCAUUGCAUUCAUUUCCCAGGGCACUCUCGAUCACAUAUCACCACCUAUCCUCGUCGCGUACUCGUCUCGCGGGUACGAGGGACCGAGGACCACUGUUGGAUCGCUCGGGGCAACGCCGGAAACAACGGCGCCAGGUGCCGAACGGUGGGGGUCACGUCGAACGGAAAUGCGGGGAAAACAGUAGGCCACGAUCGGACACGAUAAGAUAGACGCGUGUAAGCGAAACACGGGAGAAUAAAAAUGCUAGAGAAAGGAGGAUGGUAAAAAAAUAGACCCGAUUUUGGACCAUGCUGAGAACGAAAAAUUGGAUCAGGGCAUGAUACCAUAUUUUCUAAGGUGUAUGAAAUAAACAAUUAUUUAUCUGGGAA
Molecule: non-coding RNA, 729 nt
Organism: Megalopta genalis
Lineage: Eukaryota; Metazoa; Arthropoda; Insecta; Hymenoptera; Halictidae
Source: RefSeq, a predicted model, not a curated record